Long non-coding RNA from Numida meleagris (helmeted guineafowl), 3433 nucleotides. RefSeq lists it as uncharacterized. The record is from RefSeq and is a predicted model, not a curated record. The transcript is spliced from 6 exons. Lineage: Eukaryota; Metazoa; Chordata; Aves; Galliformes; Numididae.
GGGCGCCCUGCCUAAGGGACGCUUCCGAUUGGUCACGCGGCCGUUCCUACAAGGCCCACAAUGCCUCGCAGAGGUCACUCCGCGUCGUCACUACGGCGCGCCAGGGCGUCACAGUGGGGCAAGGACUACGGUACCCACAGUGCCCCUCGCCGAACUGCGCAGCGAUCGGCAAGGGAGAUCGGCCUGAGCAGGGGGGCGGGAGCGACGCGGGCAGGGCGGGCGCGCCGGUUCAGCAUCCAUCAGUGUGGGCAAAACCGAGCCGUUCCGCAAUACCGGUUCUCUGCUGUUUUAUUACACGAGGUUUCACCAGAACGCUCCGUGUGUUUAAGCGACGCCCGAUCUCAGUCCCGUUAGGCUCACGGGUCACUGCAGAAGGGCCCCUUCUCAUGAGCUCUCCCUCAGCAGCAAAUCCCUGCGGCUGCAGCGCACGGCGGCCCCGCCCAACAGCACCCUGUCCCGGCAGGCAGAGGCGCGCGGCGCCGCGUGCGGCAGCCGGGGCAUGCACGCGCACAGGGCGGGGCUAGAGCCGCGAGCGGGGGGCGGCGGUUAUUAGUGCCUGCAAGGGAGGAGGCGCGCGGGGUGGGUGUUUGAUUUCCUUUGGCGUCGCCGUGCUGUGGUGGUUGUGAGUGUGUAGUGGUGUGUGCCUGAGGAGGCUUUGGGGUCAGGCGAGGUACUGUGUCUUUUGAGGUCCCUUCUGGGUUAUUCUGCACUUCACAACGUUUGUGCAGGGUUCACUGCAAUGAAGGAAUGAGAGAAAAAAAUACUUUGAGGUGGCUUCAGGUAUGAUUGAGCAGAAGUUUUAAGGAGAACAUGUAAAAGUUUUCAUCAGAGUUGAAGUUCUUUAAAUUUUGAUUAAUUUGACCUCUCGAUGUUUCCCAAGAAAUCUCCUGAGCAAGUCAUGCUGAGGAGGAAUAUUUCCUGGGUUUUGGUGUAUCUGGAUGUACUGUUGCACCCUGAAACUCCCUGCAGCUCCUUGCCUGUGGAGGCAUGUGAUGGCAGUUUGAGAAUAGCAGAAUGACAGCAUUGGCUAUGAACUACGGGAUGGUGAAUGAAGAAAUGAAAUAACUUUUUGAGGAUACUGAAACUGGUCAGCACCUUUCUGAGCUGAAAUCCCCUCUCAUCUAAUUUGAAGGCAUCUGGGGAGCCAAGAAGCUGAGAGCUGUAGAGUGCUACAUCAACCUACAGCCUGCUCGGAAGGGGCAAAGAAGAUUUGUGAAGCCAAAGAGCAGUAGAGAAACGGAAGUUCUCUUAGAGAUCAGUAGUAGUGUCAUGCCCCAGAUCCUGGACUCAAUGCUGAAGAUAGGCGUCUACAAACCGUGUUUGAUGUCUAGCCAAGUUUUUAUGCAGUGUCUGUCCCUUUGGUACUUGGAUAAGGACAUAAAAUGUCUGUAUUGGCCAGCUCCUGGUGCCGUGACUGUAAGAACUGAGUUAAGCCUGGAGUAACAACUUUCUGGAAUACCGUUACAAUAUCCAGUAAUAUGUAGCUCAAGGACUUCAUGAGCUGAAGGUAGUAUCUUUGUACUUAUUUAAUUAUAACAAAUAUUUAUUCUAGGAAUUAGUCCAAUUGCUCUUUGAGUCCUUGUAAAUAUGUAGCGGCUGCAUGUCUUAUCUAUGUGAGGAAUAAUAUCCUACUGUUUCUUCUGUACCUGUGGCUGGCUAUUUUCCUUUAAUUUGCUCUUUGUUCUUGUAUAAGAAAGGAGAGUGAACAAUGAAUCCAUGUACAUCACUUCCAGGCCCAUCAUCCUAUUGUUGUCAGUACAACUUCUUUCUCACCUGUAAUUCCCUAGGUAUGUGAGCUCCAUAUGCUGUCUGUGCCAGGUUCUCAUCUUUAGUGGCUGCAGCACCAAUAGAGCUGUGUCUAUAUGUAAAAGAAGAGUACACACUACAAUGGAGCAUUUUCCAUGUAAGGAUUCUCAAUCCUGGUUAGAAAUGUGUCCCUAAUGUAUGAGAACCAGACUUCUCAAGAGAGUGUAAAUCGUGCCAAAUUGUGGAACAGUGUUUUAAUCUGUGUUUGGAAAAGAUAUGCUAGACCACUUCGCUUGUGACUUACAGCUAAAUCACUUAAAUUGUGAGCUUAAGCUUGAGGUAUUUUUAUUGCAUGUUAUUGUUUAAAUAAUGAAACUUGCUUAAUGGAGGAUGCUGUAAUAAAUGGAAUUUCAAAUGAGGGUUGAAAUCCUGUAGAUUGGGUUUUAUCUCAGUUAAUGGCAAUACUAGUUCAGUUUUUUAGCUUCAUCAUAAUACAGGAAUGAGAUUUCUAUUUGAUAUUGCAGUGGAUAUUGCCAAGUGAUUGAUGACACUAAUUUUCUGGCACUUCAACUGCAUGCCAACAAUAUUAAUUGCUUAAUUGUUUUAAGAUACACUACUAUCUACUUGAAGUUGGGGCAGAGUGAGAGUUGUCCUAAAAUGGCAGGUAGUGGGUGCUUUGAAGGCAAGUGUGGCAAGUCUUUAAUUUACUCAUUGCAACACGUACUCUGAUAUUGCUUUCUAAACUACAUCUUUUUUCACUCAACAUCCAGCUAUUCCUGUUGCCUGACCCAGAAAGCUUAUUAAUCCCGUUGCCUUCCAAUUUGCUAGACAAUAAAUAAAGGGCUUAAGAAGGGAAGAUUGAUGGAACAAGUCUUGUUUAUUCAACUCAGAUGCCACUGACAGUGCACUUCACUGCACUUAAACUUUCUCUGCUUUCCACAGCUAGGUUGGCAGAGGUUCACAUCACUAUUCUUGCCACUAUGGUCAGAGCGCCCAGGCUCCUUAAUACACUAUUACUCAGGCUCCUUCAAGAGACAUUCAGGCUGGCCCUUACGCAGUUGACUAGCAAAGACAGAUUACUCUCUAGAUGACAGGGCUUUGCUUGUUUGCUACCUUUCCUGUAGUUGCUUAAACUUGUGAAAUUGGCCAUAAAAUCCCACCAAAUUAGAAAAUUAAAGCUUAAUUCUCUGUUACAUGAUUACUGGCAAUAAUAAUGCAAAAAUCACAUCAUUUCCAGUCUGGUGUAAGUUGUCUUUUUAUGCUCUUUUUGUGUUUGUAUAAUUGACAGUGGCAGAACACUAGAGUUGGGUCAUGGAUAAUUCUGACAAGGUUAACUCAGUGUCCAUUUCUGAAGUAUGCUUCAUAAACAGAAAUUCUUGAGCUCUGUGUGAGGGUGGUGGAUUCUGCGCCUGUCCUGCCACAGAAGCCGGUAACCCAAGAGCUCAACUCUAUGCACAUUAAGAGAGCGUAUAAAUAAGAACAAAGGAGUCUUUAUAUGAAGUAACCUGUCAGACGUUUCUAUUUGAUUUGCUGUUACAAAGAGAUAUCUUUCUGUUAAUCAAAGUAUAGAAAGGAAAAUUUUGCAUUUGCCAGUCCUCAUUCUAAUUUGAAUGAUAAAGCAUAUUGAAAGAUUAAAGCAAAAAAUUGUUUAUUAAUCUUGUUUACCAGUGCCAAAGUCUUACAUUUC